This 222-nucleotide unclassified non-coding RNA is filed under the name Hevea brasiliensis (rubber tree). Lineage: Eukaryota; Viridiplantae; Streptophyta; Magnoliopsida; Malpighiales; Euphorbiaceae. The record is from RNAcentral.
CCUUGCCCUCUUCGGGCAGGGGUGGCUUUUCCCCUUGUUCAGAGUGUGAGUUUUUCCCUCCUUACCUCCGAACAGGGUUAUUAAUAAUUUUUGGCUUGUUUUGCAAUAGAUCGGGCUUAUUGGAGAGGGUUUUGGAGGCAUUUGUCUUGCUCCUACCAAGAGGAGAAUCACUUUGUGUCUUCAACUUGUUUGGUGAUGCAAGCUAGCUGUAGGUAGAUUUGC